GCCAUGCAUGCUUUCGAAUAAGAGGUAGCAAUUCUCUCUGAAUCUGCGAACGGCUCCGCACACCAGUUGUAAACUAUAGCAAGCAUGCUCUCUGUUCGGUCUUCACGGGCCGGGUGGGGGGCGAUAGGGAUAACCCUGGUAAUUCUGAGGCUAAUACAUGAACGCAACACCUGACUGACCGGGCAACUGGGAUGUUGGGGGACGUGUGAUUGAGUCGCAAGGAUGACUGGGAAAGGAUGCACGUUCUGACCGCGACAAAAACGGAUCGGCUUCGGUCGGCCCGAGCGGCUCUUGCAAUGUGCUUCUGACCUAUCAACUAGAUGGCAGCGUAACGGACAUGCUAUGGUUGCAACGGGUACAGAGGAUUAGGGUUCGAUCCUGGAGAGUGGGCCUGAGAGAUUGCUCACACUUCUAAGGAAGGCAGCAGGCGCGCAACGUUCCCCUUGGACAAUGUUCGAGGGCGUUAGGGGACAUAUGGAUGCUUGCCAAUGGUAGGCAAUUCAAAUGGGACUGUUCUAAACAGCCUAUCGAGUAACUU
Molecule: ribosomal RNA, 538 nt
Filed under: Diderma effusum
Lineage: Eukaryota; Evosea; Eumycetozoa; Physariida; Didymiaceae
Description: SSU rRNA
Rfam family: Eukaryotic small subunit ribosomal RNA
Source: RNAcentral